This 465-nucleotide ribosomal RNA is filed under the name uncultured bacterium. RNAcentral describes it as "partial 16S ribosomal RNA". It matches the Rfam family "Bacterial small subunit ribosomal RNA", at positions 28 to 507 of the family's 1533-position model. The record is from RNAcentral.
GACGAACGCUGGCGGCGUGCUUAACACAUGCGAGUCGAACGGAAAGGCCCUGCUUGCCGGGUACUCGAGUGGCGAACGGGUGAGUAACACGUGGGUGAUCUGCCCUGCACUUCGGGAUAAGCCUGGGAAACUGGGUCUAAUACCGGAUAGGAGCCAUUUUUAGUGUGAUGGUUGGAAAGUUUUUUCGGUGUAGGAUGAGCUCGCGGCCUAUCAGCUUGUUGGUGGGGUAAUGGCCUACCAAGGCGGCGACGGGUAGCCGGCCUGAGAGGGUGGACGGCCACAUUGGGACUGAGAUACGGCCCAGACUCCUACGGGAGGCAGCAGUGGGGAAGAUUGCACAAUGGGCGCAAGCCUGAUGCAGCGACGCCGCGUGGGGGAUGACGGCCUUCGGGUUGUAAACGCCUUUCGCUAGGGACGAAGCUUUUUGUGACGGUACCUAGAUAAGAAGCACCGGCUAACUACGUG